Molecule: long non-coding RNA, 327 nt
Organism: Scomber japonicus (chub mackerel)
Lineage: Eukaryota; Metazoa; Chordata; Actinopteri; Scombriformes; Scombridae
Exons: 4
Source: RefSeq, a predicted model, not a curated record
GUGAGUCUCAAACCUCUCACAACACAGGUCAAAGGAGACAGAGACCAAAGAACCGAACAAAGACCAUCAUCAGGAUUACAAGUUUGGACUGAAAGACAAAAAAUAUCCCCAGUAAGAAGAAGCGAAACCCAAAGUGAAGAUGAAUCUGUUAGUCAUUCUCACCCUGCUUGGAAUAUUCAACAUUAAUGAGGCUUUUGCAAGAAGACGACCCAAACAGAGAUCACCAAGCAAUCAAGUCAUUCACAAAGAGUGUCUGUCUGGCAAUGGGAACGGUUACAGGGGAACUGUUUCCCAAUCAGAACACGGCCGCAGGUGUCGCAACUGGUC